This 304-nucleotide unclassified non-coding RNA is filed under the name Hevea brasiliensis (rubber tree). Lineage: Eukaryota; Viridiplantae; Streptophyta; Magnoliopsida; Malpighiales; Euphorbiaceae. The record is from RNAcentral.
AUUUCGUACCAAGUUUAAACUUUAAGAACCUGCCCUCUUAUGAUAUGCCCCUAAAAUAGUUGAAAAGUUAAUCAAACACACUCUAAGAUAACAUUCCAAAAUCACAACAGCACAUACCCAUUUACUUAUUUUCCUUCUUGAUCUGUUGUUCCUUGACAGCGGCAUCGUUGCUUUGCUUUGGGAUUGGUUGAAUUCUCACAUAUGGCUUCCUUGUCAAUGUCUCUCCCUUCAAAGCAGCAACAUAGCGAUCAUUUGUGUCUUCUUUCCUUUGCAGCUCACCUAGAUAUUCAGCCAGUCUCUCUCG